UUCUUCAUUCCUUUUCCGGCUGUCGACUUGGUGAGUUCAAUUUUUUUCUAGUUUGGAAGUCGGACAAAAAUUAAGAAAAAUAUCAAUUAAUUGGAAAAAGUGAAUUUGGAACAUAUAAAAAGUGUUAAUACUAGAAAAAAUAUUGUGUGAAAAGUAUAAUGGAAGCAAUAAUUAAAACUGAAGUUAAUGGUAGUGGCCCAUUGCCACAAAGACCACAGAAAAAUCAAGGUGGUGGCAACAAGAAUUUCAAUAAGCCUCAAAUGGAUGGUGGUCCAGCUGAAAAAAAGCCACGUUUCAAUCAAGGCGGUGGCAAUAAUAAUAACAAUAAUAAUCAGAACAACAGAGGAGGAUUUGGAAACAAAGGUUUUGGUAAUAAUAGAAAUAAUAACAAUAAUCGUAAUCGUGGUGGCGGAAAUAAUAGAGGAAAUUUCCAGAAUCAGCAGCAAAACCAGCAGCAACAACCACAAACACAAAAUCAACAACCCUCUGCUCAACAGCCUGCGUCAGAUGUUAAACCUGAAAAUGCAGCUAAAACUGAACCCAAAGCUAAUGAAGAGACCAAAAAUGCACCAUCAAAUAACCAACAACCACAACAACAACAGCAACCACAACAAAAUCAGCAAAAUCAUAACAAUAACAUGAAUAAACAAGGUGGUGGAAACAAUAAUAUGGGAGGAGGCGGAGGCGGCAAUCGCGACCGUGGUCAAAAGCGCGAUCGUCACUUUGAUGGCCCACGUGGAGGCGGUGGUGGUCGUGAUGGUCCCAGAGGCGCAAUGGGUGGUGGAGAUGGUGGCAACCGUGGCGGCCCAGGUCGUAAUGAUGAGUUCUUUAUAGGCCAACGUUUGCGUGCCAUAGCCGGCCCAACUCAUGAACUACCACCAAUUGAGAACACAGAGGAAACAAAAUUCUCUGGUCGAAAUCGUCUCUACGUUGGUAAUUUAACAAACGAUGUCACCGAAGAAGAUUUGCGUGAGCUUUUCAAACCUUUCGGUGAAAUUGGUGAGGUUUUUAGCAAUCCUGAAAAGAACUUUGCUUUCUUAAAAAUGGAUUUCCAUGCCAAUGCUGAGCGCGCAAAACGUGAGUUGGACGGUACUUUACGCAAGGGUCGCAUGUUGCGUGUACGUUAUGCACCAAAUUCUACAGUUUUACGCGUUAGCAAUCUUACACCAUUUGUAUCUAAUGAAUUGUUGUACAAGUCAUUUGAAAUAUUUGGACCCGUCGAAAGAGCUUGUGUCAACGUUGAUGAUCGUGGUAAAUCCACCGGAGAGGGUAUAGUUGAGUUUGCCAAGAAAUCAUCGGCUAAUGUUUGUUUGCGUUUCUGUAGUGAAAAGUGUUUCUUCCUCACUGCUUCUCUGAGGCCAUGUGUGGUUGAGCCUUUUGAUGCCAACGAAGACACAGAUGGUUUGCCCGACAAGUCUCUAAACAAAAAGUUGCCAGAAUUCAAUCACGAACGUAAUGUUGGUCCUCGUUUCGCUGAUGUUGGUAGCUUUGAACAUGAAUACGGUACCAGGUGGAAGCAAUUGCACGAAUUGUUCAAGACUAAACAGGAGGCUUUGAAACGUGAAUUAAAAAUGGAAGAAGAAAAAUUGGAAGCACAAAUGGAAUAUGCUCGUUAUGAGCACGAGACAGAACUUCUAAGACAAGAAUUACGCAAACGCGAAUCUGACAAUGAACGCAAGAAAAUGGAAUGGGAAAUGCGUGAAAAACAAGCUGAAGAAUUGCGUAAACGUGACGAAGAGCAAAUGCGUCGUCAACAAAGUGAAAUGCAAUCUCGCAUGUUGCGUCAAGAAGAGGAAAUGCGUCGCCGCCAACAAGAAAACACAUUGUUCAUGCAAGCCCAACAAUUGAAUUCUAUUUUAGAUCAACAAGAGGGUGGCUUCAGUGGAAAUUGUAGCAAUUUCGAUAACUUUGGCGGUGGCAAUAACUCGCCAUUCGAUUUCCGUGGCAACAACGGUGGUAAUGGCGGAAAUAAUGGUCCCAAUGGACCCAAUAACCAACAGAGAAAUGAUUGGAAAUAUUCUGCAGAUUUCUACCACACAACAUGAUUAAUACUGGGCAAUGACAAACAUGGAAUUAAAUAUAUAAAAGGGUUUUAAGGGCCUUUGAACAUGUAGCAAAUUACUGCGGUUUACUAAAAGUUCCGCGAGGUCAUGAACGAAAGGAUAAAUCAUACGUCUCUAUUUGAAAUAAAAGUUUUAACGGAAUAGAAAUGAUGCAACAUGGGUCAUAGACACUUAAAGUGUUUAAUAUUUUGACAUCAUCUUAAAUGCUUGGUUGGACAGUUAUUUCUUACAUUAUGCAGUUGUUUUAUACCAAAUGAAAAUCAGAAACUUUAACCAACAUAUUUAACAAUUAAUGCAGCUGAAUUUUACUUUCUUGAAAUCAGAUGCUGUAAAUUGUUAUUUUUUAUAAACAAUAUAAUUUUACGUUGUACAGCUGGAGUAGUUGAAGCGAUCAGCAAUUGUUAUUUGUGGAACUAUUUGUUUGGAUUACAUCAACAAAAUAUUAAG
Lucilia cuprina (Australian sheep blowfly) is the source of this 2510-nucleotide RNA transcript. It is a transcript of the gene named protein no-on-transient A-like, with no coding region annotated. The transcript is spliced from 12 exons. Lineage: Eukaryota; Metazoa; Arthropoda; Insecta; Diptera; Calliphoridae. The record is from RefSeq and is a predicted model, not a curated record.